Hemicordylus capensis (graceful crag lizard) is the source of this 12758-nucleotide RNA transcript. RefSeq lists it as uncharacterized. The record is from RefSeq and is a predicted model, not a curated record. Lineage: Eukaryota; Metazoa; Chordata; Lepidosauria; Squamata; Cordylidae. The transcript is spliced from 4 exons.
CAAAUAUUACUGAGCAUGCGUAGUAGUUGCUCCAGCAACUGAAGCCUCCCGUCCGUUUCUUGCCCUUACUUGGCCUCAAACUUUCGUUCUUGUUCAGCAUGCAGAGCAGACUUUUAAGGGAAGGACUGACUGACGAUGCAGAGUGGAGUGCUACGACUAACUACAUCAUAUGGCAUCAUCUUAGACCACAAUCAGAGAUUCUCCCCAUGGACACCUGGGCCUGGGCAAAUGAAGAGGAGCCUCCCUUCGACGGACUGCCCCCCUUGCCUAAAGCGUUCAGGGACCCCAGCUUGAUUCGGUCUUCUCUGCCCGAGAAGGGAGAGCAGGAAGAGGUCAAACGGCCCGAGGGGAGUCCUGAUGGCAUAUCCUGGCUGCACCAUGAAAUGGACUUCCCCCCAAAAGAGGAGACGGAGCCAGGGGUUUUUCAAACUGCAGAUCAGGCAGCUGAACUUGAAGACAAAUCUGGUGAACAUCUGAAAAAUAACCUCAGGCAACACAUGCAGUGACAGCAGUGAGUACGGAUCAGUUGAGAGACAAGCCCCAUUGAGAUGUUUUGUUCAACACUCGUACAAGGGAACAGUGUGCACAGGAAGCAAAACUAAGCAGAAGACCAGUCGUGGAUGAUUACAGGAAACCCCUGGUGUUGGAAAGAAGGCCGCCCAGGUAGGGAUUAAGGUGAAGGGAAACGCGGCAACAUAAACAGUACGCCGACAAUUGUUAGUCUCACCAGAAGGUGGCACCCCAGCCAUGCCCAAAGCUUGUCCUCUGUCUUUUCUCUCUCUCAUCCUCUGUCAAGAUUAUAGGGGUGGUGCCCAUAUUCCUAUGUGCUCUCCCCCUGUUAACUGAUCAAAGAGAGCUCUGCCAUGGACAUACCUGCCUCUGCACUCAGGCAGCCACCUGUUCAGGCCUGGUCUGCAACCUGCAGGACUCAGCAUCAAUCUCUCAAGGGGAAGACAGAAAGCAAUUCUGGGGAUUUGAAUGGCUUGAUAUUGGAGGAAAUGUCUCCAGGAAUCGUUUCAGUCCGAGCUGGCAAACCUCUAGAGUUGCCAUGCCCCCAGAAAUUCCAGGUUUCACCCCAAUUUUAAGCAUCUCACCCAGAUUGCUUAGCCCUCCCAGAUUUGCCCGGAUUUCAGCUUGCUUUCUUUUCUUUUUUUUUAAGCUCUAGCCCUUGUAGAAGCGGAGUUAUGGAGCAAAACGUGCCGUCACUCUUCUGCUCAAAAACCAUGUUCAAGCCAAUUUACAUAAUAUGCAAAUGAGGCCCCAGAGGUGGGGUGGGGUACAAGGCGCCUCCAAGCAUAACUGCCCUCUACUGUUACAGCAUGAAAGAGGGAGCUCUGAAGAAACUCCUCUCCACCCUCAGCUGCUGCUCCCAACGCAUAGGAGCUCGCUAAGCAACUUCUGUGCAAAAAACGCGAUCGGGGAAAAUGUGCAAAACAGCCGCCAAGCUAAGCUGUCGAUCACACUUUCCAAUCCCGGUUUUUAAAAAGUAGGUUUUAAAAAUCUGCUUCCUCCGCCUACCGCCCCCACCCGUGUCCAGGAAUUCUGUCUCACUACUGCGGCAACUCUAGCUGUGACAUAGGUGUGUGCAUCCUCCAACCCCCCCCCAGGGGGGGGAUGCUCCUUUCUCCUUCAAAUGGUUUAAUUCAAAUGCAAAUAUAAUUGGUUAGAUCCAAGCGCAAAUAUAAUUGUUUGGUUGAUGAAGACUGGUACGGCAUUAAUUUAUUAACAAACUAGUUUAUUUCUAAAUUAAUAAUAACCCCUGCUAACUGGGCAAAGAGGCACCUUUUUACAUGGUUAUUCUCUUUUAUUUAGCAGGGGGAGAGUAACUGGCCAUAUCCACCCCCAGCACAGCACCCCUCCAGUGACAGUUGCUGGUGUCUAUCUUGUGUUCCUUUUUAGAUUGUGAGCCCUUUGGGGACCAGGAUCCAUCUUAUUUAUUUAUUUGUUAUUUCUCUGUGUAAACCACCCUGAGCCAUUUUUGGAAGGGCGGUAUAGAAAUUGAAUUUAAUAAUAAUAAUAAUAAUAAUAAUAAUAAUAAUUAUUAUUAUUAUAAUUAACUGGGUGACAGGUGCAGCCUGGAAGUCGGGGUGCUCUGUCCUCCUGCUGUUAGGCCCGCCUCAGGCCUUCGCUCCCCUUACUCUGCUUAUCCAGUUCAUUAGAAAAAUUUAAACCAAGCUUAACCUUGUUUCCCCUCAUCCGCUCCCCUGCUUGCCCCCCCACCUCCAUCCUCCUCCUCCUCCUCCGACCUCUUCUCCUGCGCCAAGAGGGACAGACGCUCCCUCGCUGGCUGCUGCUGCUGCUGGCGCCUUCCUCCUGGCUUCACCUUCGCAAGGUCUCUUCUGCGGGCGUCUUCUCCGCCCAUCUGUCUCUGGGGGAUCAGGGCAGAUUAACAUCCAAUCUGCCUGUCUACUUUUCUGCUUUAAAACCUGCUGACAGGUUUGCAGAUUACAUUUUCUGGACACCCCCUCCCCACCCCGUCUUCCUUCCACUCCAUCCUGCCAGCAACAAGUUGGAGCCACCUUCCUUCUUUUCCGCCACAUCCUCCCCACGCAAGGGGACCAAAUAAAACACACACAUACUCUCUCUCACUCUGUAGGCAAUGUGUUUCUGAGCAUGUACAGGUGGCCUUUCUUUUUGUGAAGAAAUCAGGCUUGCGUUUUGUUUUGUUUUGUUUUAAGUGGACAAGGUGCCACUUGACUUGACCAGCCACCUUAAGUGGCGCAGCAGGGAAAUGCUUGACUAACAAGCAGAAGGUUGCCGGUUCGAAUCCCUGCUGGUAUGUUUCCCAGACUGUGUCCUGUAUUCCUGUGUCCUGUAUGCCAAAGAAAACCACAGGAGUCGAAAUCAACUUGAUGGCACACUUUACCUUUAGGAGCCAGUGUGGUGUAGUGGUUAGAGUGCUGGACUAGGGAAGACCCGAGUUCAAAUCCCCAUUCAGCCAUGAUACUAGCUGGGUGACUCUUGGUCAGUCACGUAUCUCUCAGCGUAACCUACUUCACAGGGUGUUGAAACUUAAGUAUGUAGUACACCGCUCUGGGCUCCUUGGAGGAAGAGCGGGAUAUGUUAACCGCCCAAAGAUGAAAGUUUGGGCCGUAUAUAAAUAUGUUGAAUAUGUUGAAUGAAUAAAUAAAUAAAUAAUAUAAAAUGUGAAUAAUAAUAUAAUAUUGUGGAUGUUUUACAUAUUCCCCCCUCCCCGGAUCCUUCCAGAUAACUGGCGAGGAUGAUAAUAUUCUAGAGAGUUGCCAGUCCACAUUUCCACAGUAGGAAAAAUGUUCCUCAGACUGCUCUUAAAGGCGGUGGAACAGGGCCAGUUUCAAAGAAACCCUAGCCUAGAUUUGUUGGACUACAACUCCCAUCAUCCCCCAAGACCACUGUGGCUGCGAUGAUGGAGGUUGUAGUACACCAUCCAGAUACCCAAGUUAUCUGUCCUGGCCCAUGCAUACUGUAAUGCUUGUGACUCAGACUAAGAACCAGUAUGUUCCAUGAGCAAAUGUACUGGGGGAAGCUGUUCUGGGGGAUUUCAGAGCAGCCGCCAUUUUGCAUCUUGUAAAAUUUGCACAUAGAGUUGCCAAGCCUGGCUGAAGUUAUUCCUGGAGCUUUCCAAACCUUCCCCCAAUAUCGUUCACCAUCUCAAGCCACUAAAAUGUCCAAGACUGCUUUGAAUAGUCUCCCAGCGUCUGAUGCUGAGAGUUGUCAAUCCUGGGAUCUCCAGGAAGUGGUGUCAGUGGUGUCUGGAGAUGGCAUGGCAUGGUAUGGUAUGGUGGAAAACAUUGGAAAAAUAGAUAUUUUAGAAAAUAAUCUCCAGAAAUAGCUUCUGUCUGCAUUGUCAACCCUCAGUUGCCAGUUCCUGGAGAUUCCAGGCCAUUCUGGGGUGGAGAGGGGGCACAACUCUGUCUACACAGUGUUCAAGUAAUGUUCCUGUGGUCACAAUCCCCAACUGUUCAUGCAGCCAGCAGAGAUAUUCAGUGAGCCCCCACAGCUCUCUGUGGUCAAAUAAUCAGAAUAGCUUGAGAAUGCCUUUGUGUGUGGGCAAAAUGCACCCUUGUGUAAUUAGUAUUAAUUGAAGGGGUUUGGUAAGGUGGGGCAGGAUCAAUUCCUUUAGCUAUUACAUCUGCCCUGGAUCAACAUUUCAAAAUCCUUUAGGGCCAUAAUGCCAAGAGUGCACUUUCUGGAAACGUGAAAUGUGGUGGGGGUUGGGAGGAGGACAAGAACGAAUCAGUUUCCAGAAGGGCUUAUGGGCUCGUGACGGGGAAGAGAUGCCACUCCACCAGUGAUUUCAAAAUGGCAGCCGUUUCCACCCACAUUAAGCCCAGCAGUGAGGUCUUUCCACUGGGUUAUUAGACAGAAUAAAAGAUAAUAUACCUUUGCUUUUGGUUAGUAAGUGGAGUUGUUCUUACCUUCUGGACUGUUUGUCCUGCUGUUUUUGUGGGGGCUCCCACAUUGGUGCCACUUUUAGGGUUGCUAGCUUUUGUGUCUGGCUCUGCUCUCCUCCGCAUUUAACUAACAGCAGGCUGGCACACAGACCGACAUGUAGCCAGGUAGGCGUUUCCCAUCACUAUAUGUUAGGAAGUAUAGGGCUAAGGAGGGGGUUCCGGAGGACCCUGGGGAGCUGUGCAGAAGAGAAUGUGGGUAGCUGUCGUUUGAUAUACAGAGGACAAAAGUCUCUCUUCUCACCUGUUUCCUGCUCUGAGCAAACGGAUUACAAUGUAUGAGAUUUUGCAUUUUUCUCCCUUUGCAAUGCUUCACUGUGAUAUCUCCAUGCAAGACAGGGGUAUAGCCACAGUACACCAUGCAGUUGCAAAUUCAGAAGUGCAGAAGGUGGCGCUCUCCAUGAUAGUCUCCAUGGCCAUGCCCGCCCCAACAGAGGAGAGCUGGUCUGGUGGUAGCAAGCAUUAUUUGUAUGAAGUGAUUGUAAUGUAUGAAGUGGUUUUGAGACAUGACAGAGUAAGCAUCAGAUAUUCACAGACAGAAUGGUAAUAUACUCUUGUAUUUUAAAAGUUCUGGCUGCCCCCUUUCCUUAUGUGUCAAUUAACAUCCGAAGUGGCAAAUCACAGGAGAGCAUGUAAAGGUAAUGUGUGCCGUCAAGUCAAUUUCGACUCCUGGCGACUACAGAGCCCUGUAGUUGUCUUUGCUAGAAUACAGGAGGGGUUUCCCAUUGCCUCCUCCCGUGCAGUCGGAGAGGAUGCCUUUCAGCAUCUUCCUAGAUUGCUGCUGCCCGAUAAGAAUACCAGUGGGGAUUCAAAUCGGCAACCUUCUGCUUGCUAAGCAAGCAUUUCCCCGCUGCGCCACUUAAGGAAAGUCCCCAUCUUGGGAUUUCUAGCUUCUGCACCCUUCUCAUAGGUACCACUUCAGAUGUCAACUUUGCUCAUUUGAGCAUUUUGUCACCACUCCAUUGCAGUUCCAUCCUCACUGGCCUUAGACUGAGCUUCUUGGGGCAGAAACCUAUCGUUUGGGGUGUGAUGUUGCUUUGUAACACUGACGGACCUAUACAGAGAAUGAGCAACAGUUAUAAUAACUGAUACGCAGCGCCUUUCACACGGUUCACGCAUUAGCCACGAGUGAUGAGGGGUCUGGGAAGACCAUGCAGGUGUGAACCAACCCUCAAUUAGAACGGUGCCCUGAGCUAAAGGUGUGUGUUUCCCCCCCAAAAUCCAUGUUAACUAUGCCUGUGAACAUGACCUUUCCAGAUGCCUCAGUCCAACGUUGCUCAAGGAGCAUCUGGGGACUGAAGUGGAGGAGAGCUGGUCUUGUGGUAGCAAGCAUGAUUGGUCCCCUUAGCUAAGCAGGGUCCACCCUGGUUGCAUAUGAAUGGGAGACUUGAUGUGUGAGCACUGUCAGAUAUUCCCCUCAAGGGAUGGAGCCGCUCUGGGAAGAGCAGAAGGUUCCAAGUUUCCUCCCUGGCAGCAUCUCCAAGAGAGGGCUGAGAGAGAGAUUCCUACCUGCAACCUCAGAGAAGCCGCUGCCAGUCUGUGAAGACAAUACCGAGCAAGAUAGACCAACAGGGUCUGACUCAGUAUGUGGCAGCUUCCUGUGUUCUUAUGUUCCUAAGUGGCACCCAGCCUGCCCACCUCCUCUCUGCACAUGGGCCCAGUUCUCUUUAAUUAAAGGAGGUUACCCAGGGGGAUUCAGCUGGCAGCACCACUAUGGGCAGCUGUCACUGGGCAUUGAAGAACCAAUUUGUCAUCCUUAGCAGGUUCCCUAAUCCUUUCUAAUUCAGUUACCAAUCUGCGCAGUGGGCAGCGCGGCCUUAAGAGGAUUGGGGUAUUUGCUAAAUUAGAUAAGUAAAAAUAACAAAUGGCGGGCAGUGGUGUGGGUGUGUGUAUAUUGGGGUCGGCUGCUGAGGCCAGGGGACAGCCAGCCUGUCUUGGAAGCCAGGACACUGCAUCAAAGGCAGGGCAACGCACACACUUUGGGCCUCAAAUCGUUGCCAGAUAAUAUUUGACAGACAAUAUUUUCUAAGAGGACUGAAAGCAGUGCAAGAGAAAUUUCACUUCCCAGGAUGCACCUACAUAGGCUAGAGGGAGAGAUGCUUUCACAGAAAGCUGGAGGUGAUUUGAAAUGGUUGCUCAGGGGAUCAGCACUCACCCUGCUUUUGCCUUUGGUCAAACAGGUUUAGCAGGCUUCUGUCAGGCUUAAAAAACCUUUUCGACCAGAAGUGGCAAUGACACAAUAGGAGCAUGACACCAAUAGAACCAUAUACUCUAGGGGAAGCACUUUGCAGCCUACGGAUGAAGAGGGCUGCAAUGAGUGAAAAUGAGCAGGUAGUAGACAAGAUUUACCCUGACACAGGUACAUAGGAAGCUGCUGUAUACUGAGUCAGAACCCUAUCUUGCCGGUUGUUGGAGUAAAAUAUGGGUGCCAACCACUGAUGCUGCCGUGACGAUAGAAUAAAUAAAUAGUCAGGGGGUCAAGAAACAUUGGCUCAGUUCACCAGCCAGACAAAAGUUUUUACUCAUCAGAUGGUUCCUUGAGCUAUGCUGGCAUAUUACUUGUCAGGAUUUCCCUCCCCCACCCAACCCCACUUGUCAGGUAUCAUUUUUCACUCAUUACAGACUAGCAGACUAGUGGAUUUCCUGAGCCUUGAUCAUCAUCAUAAACACCAUCAUAAUAAGGAUGAUCAGCGGGACAGAAAAUAACCAGAAGCAUGCUAAUGGAAUUGCAACAGCUGAUGGUGAGGGUGUCAGAGCACAAUUAUUGUGCAUGCCUCCUCUGCCUCCCCCCCCCAAGUUGCCAAUGUUUUAUACCAUCCCUGCUCUUGUGCCUUCAACAGCGGCAUGAUUUGCAGACAUUAGCAGAAGAUUAUGCUUAAGUCCAUUCUGUGAAAAGCUUUGCCUUUCUGCCAAUCAAGCGGCUGUUAAAGGCACAGAAGCAAACCAGAAAUUGUUUGUUCUGGUCAGCUGGCAACCCAGCUCUCUUCCCUCUCCUCCCUUGCUUCUCCCACCAUUCUGAACCCGAGCACAGAAGCCAGUUCGGGGUCUGGAUUCCUCCAAACUCUGAAGCUGAUCUUCAGUCCCAGCCCACAGAUCAGAGGAAUUCCAGGGCCACUAUUAACACAAGGAAUAUUACUCAUUACUCUAAUUUUUGCAAAAUCAGUUGUUUUAAUCAGCAGCUGGAAACAACAACAACAAAAAAAGCACACAGAGCCGUUGUUUCUUUUCAGCUAUGUUUUUGUUUGGUUUUUUUACAUUUUUACAUUUUUUUUAAACCACCAACAAUUUUUGUAACUGUACGGACUAAGACAAUAAUAAAUAGAGAGAACCAUCAAAAAUAACUUGCGUGGAAUUUUCUCAUCUACAGCAAAAGAAUGUAUUUUUCUUUUUAAAAAACUAUUUGCAACUAAGAAAUCUAAACUAAGAAAUCUCUAAUAGCAUUUACAAAAUAGACCUUCUUCUUUAAAAUUUAAAAGCCAGCUCUUUAAUGCACAGGGGGAGAAAACCAUAUUCUUUAAAAAAUUUCCUCAAACUCUUUGUUUUAAUGCUUCCAUCUUGAGAAAACGGUUAUUCAAAUGAAACCACGAGUACAAGUUAGAUUACAAGUUAGAUUUCAUCUCCCAAUCUCAUGCCUCUCCCCUAAAUAAAAUGUAGCCUAUUUCAUUUUGUACACAAUAUAAGGUUUAGCUUCGGUGCCAUUCAAAACAAAUGCACAAGGAUCAACAUUCACUGAGGUAACCAGCCAAAAAAAAAAAAAAAGGUAUUUGCAUGAAUCCAAAAAGGGGAAGAAAUUGAAUAAUCUUCCAGCCUGGAUUGUAUUACAUGGUCAAACCUUGUAUGUAAGUCAGCAAUACACAAACAUGGCCAGUAUAUGAUUACCAACUGACCAGAAAAGGAAAAAAAACAGCUGGUGUGGUCUGCUCCUGUGCUUUCAACUGCAGCUUUCUCUGGAAAAAAUCAGCAAAUGAAGCUUUUUACAGUCUAAAAACAAACAUAAUGUAUUAAUGUUGGAGCUCAAGCCAUUGUUAAAAUCACAGCUACAGAUAUGGACUGAAAAGUUGGCAACCCAAACUUGAAAGGGGGCUAAUCCACCGCAGAACACUGAUGCUUCACCUCUGGUUUUUCAUUAGUGCAAAUUGCUACCUGACAGCUGUGUACACCCCAACAGAUUGAUUUUAAAAAAUAAAAUAAAAAAUAGAGGAGUAUGAACAAUAUAUAUAUGGAGCAGGACAUUUGGAUUUGAAAAAUAAAUGCAUGCAGGGCCAAACUAUUUUUGUAGAACACUAAAAUGGUACUUUCCCCCCCUCAUCCACUAAUUAUUACGAGGCAGAAUUGACUGGGAAGAGUGUCUGUGCAAACCCCAUUGAAAUUAAUAGCUUAGAAAUUCAGGGAACUUCGCAGAGUAUUGGACCCAAGAUUCAGAUCUGCCUGCCUUUCCCUCUGCUACUUUUGGUGGCACUCAGAAGAUGCUACUUCCUGUUCACACACACACACACACGGAGAUAACUUUGCCCAAAUCUAUCUAGCUCAGUACCGUCUACACUGAUUGCCCUCCAAGGUUACAGGCAGGAGUCUCAAAGCUCUACCUGGAGAUGCCAGGGAAUGCACCUGGGACCUUCGGCAUGCAGAUGCUUCCCCACUGAGCCAUGGCCCCAAGAUAUUCCCAGGGGGAUACCUUACAGAGCAAGCAUGCAGUCACCCAUCCAAAUGUAAACCAGGGCAGACCCUGCUGAGCAAAGGGGACAAUUCAAGCUCACCCCCACAAGACCAGAUCUGCUCCCACCACCAACCAGAGUCCCCUGGACUUGCUACUGGUCAGCGCGAGCUGCUUGUCCCUCACCACCUCCCUUGCUCAUCUUCCUUGACUUCUUCUUUGGCUCAGCAAGAAGGACCAGCUCUCUGUGCUGUCACUUGCGCCCUUGCUUGCCAUCUCUCUCGUUCUGGGCCCAGCAGGGUGGCAGUGCGGCAGCAGAAGCUGUUACUGCCUCUCUUGCUGCUGCCCCUCACUGCCCCCAACACCAACUGAUGGUGGCGGCAAAAAGGACGAGGAGGCAAGCAGAGGGGGUGGGAGAGAAAUUGGGCAGUGAUGGUCACGAGGAGCCACAGCAGCAGCCAUCACUGGCCCUGGGGAUGGGCAGCGAAAGGAAGCAAGCUCCAGCCUGCCACCCCAGCAUGGGAGUGUGUAUGAGGCAGGCCCAUAAGGAGCUGGAAUCAGUCAUGGAUAUUAGAAGCUCCUUCUGCAGACCUGACCAGCAGCCCAGGGAGGAAUCCCUUCACAUGAGCAAACAGGGGUGGGUCCUCACCUGUGGACUUUGCACCAGAGGUUGUGCAUGCCUUUAAAUGGCAUAGGAGUAUAUCCCGCCCCCCACCCGCUCCUCCCAAGGAGUUAGAACAUAAGAAGAACCCUCCUGGAUGUGGCUCCAGGCCUAUUUAGUCCAGUUCUCCUCGGUUUAGAGGAGAGAGUUGUUUAAGUUGCCUCUCUUAGUGGUGGACAAGGGCAUCCUGGGGAGGGAAGGGGAGGCAUUUCCAAGCUUUGCCCUGCAACCGAGAAGACUAGAAACUUAAGCGGAGGGUCUCAGAGCAUAGUAAGACAAACCAUGAUCAAGUGGCAAAGCAUACGGAGGCUGAACUUCAGCAGGGACCCAUACCACUCACAUAUAAGAAGUUUUUCUACUAGUUGGUAGAAUUGCAUGAUUAAAGAAAUCUCAGUCAUUGACUCAAACGAGCUUUAACAGGUUAAAUUGAUGAAAUAAUCCAUUGAAUUUGCAUGUGAGUAAAAUAAAUAUCCCAAAGCAAAAAAUAAAAUAAAAUUAUGUGGUAGCAGGCCUCAUGUUGGAAGAGGCAUUCUCCCUAUGCGUGAGAGAGCCUCUUCUGGGAUGGCCCUUGUCAGCUGCAAUUCUUAUAAGCACAUAUAUUUAAAACAGUAUAUGUUUUGUCAGUUUGCUGCUAAGUUAAUCACGGCACUUUUGCAAUCCAAGCAAAAGCAUUUUAAAACUUUUUCUAAUGCAUUACAGGUUCCUGCCCUGGUUUGAACACCAUUUGGAGUAUGAUACCCCAGCAAAGGUGUAAUGUCGCAGUCUGUUUGAUGUGGAGAAAGUGGGUAGAAUUUUUCUCUUCCUAUGUCGUCUCACUAGAAUUCAGGGGGUCCCGAAUGAAACUGACCAGCAGUCGAUUCGGGAGAGUCAAAAGGAAGGACUGACUCUGUCACACAGAGGAGGGAAGUGAAAAGGAAGGGGGCUUCUUCACGCAACACCUCAUUAAUAUAUGGAAGGGGUGCCCAGGCUUGGACCUCCUAAUGUUGUUGGACUACAACUCCCAUAAUCCCCAGCCACAAUGGCCAGCCAUUGACCCUGGGAAUGAUGGGAGUUGUAGUCCAACAUCGGGGCGGUGGGGAGCCUGGGAACCCCUGUAUGAUGCAAAGCUGGAGAUGGAUUUUUACAGGGAUUCUCAAUGUUGGGUCCCCAGAGGUUAUUGGACUUUGGUCCCCAGUGGCCUUUGGUUGGGGGUUAUGGGAGUUGAAGUCCAAACAGCAUCUGGGGACCCAACGUUGAGAAUCCCUGGAUUAGAACACAAGUGGCCAACCCCUGAGGCUCUCUGGCUGUUCCGGGACUACAUCUCCCAUCAUCCUCAGCUGCAAUUUAUGGUGGCUGCAGAUUGUGGGAGGAGUUGUUCAGCAACAACCACAACCCUCCCUGCUUCUAACCUGCUGGCCUCAGCGCCUUCUCGAGGCUGGAUGUCGCUUAGGAGCCUGGCUUGCUGUUCACUUCUAGCUGGGCCGCAUUCUGCACUGAGGGAGAGCUGAAGCCCAUUCCCAUGCAAGCCAAGAUGUAGGCAAGGAGCUCUUUAACCCCUUCCGAGCUCUGCCUUGGGGGCACCUCCGGUGGUGGCUGCCCAGUGCCUGCGUCUUGGCUUCUGCAUGGGAGGUAGCAACUGUUAGGGAAGGACUCUUGCAGGAUAUUUGAUGCGCUUCGGAGCUUGGGGAGGAGGGCUUGCAUGCCCCUUGUCUGCUCAGGUGCCACGGUGCACUACCGUGAAUGCGUUGGGGGUGAGAUCAUUGGGAUCAGGGGCUAUUCUAAUAAGCCUGCGGGGGACCAACGUGGUAGCCUAUCCCUAGCUUCGAUUGCUCCUCUCUAGGCCAGGGAUUCUCAUAUUCUCAAAAUAAGCCCGAAGAAGAAGAAGAAGGAAAGCUUCCUAAGUGUCCAUAAACCAACAUGCCACAUGCUGCUAGCCCUGGGAGGACGAGCAGAUCAGUGGAAAGAUGAGAAAGAGCAGGAGAGAAUACAGCAGGCUUGAAGGGGUGGAGGUGGGGGCUGUCGUGGGACAACCCUGCCUCCCGACACAAGCAUUCAAGGUAAGAAAGACACAGGGAUGAUGGAAACGGAUUGUGCAUUGAUCCCUGCUGCUAUCUCUGCAAAGCUGGUUUUUUUGUUUUGUGAGGAAGAGGGAGAAGGAGAAAGGAAGCAACGUGGCUUUUUGAGUCACAACACUGCGGAAAGCUUCAUCGGCUCUGUGCUCUGGCUGUAGGACUUUGUCAUCUCUUGUGUGCCUGAAAAAGCUGAAGAACGUGCCGGGUGAGAAUUCCAAUCUUCUGGCCUGACGGGUUGGACAUUGCUGGUAGUCAAAAGGUGUCCUGGGGCUCAGGUCUUCCAGGACAAAGAUUUAGAACUUCAGCCCAGUAGAUGGGAGGGUAGCUGAGCUUUCGGACACGGAGUCCAGGCCAAGAAUGUGAAGGAGUUACAUGUCCGAGGCCUGAGCAUAAGAAGCGAAGGCUGUACAUGAGUUCCUGUCUUCUACAUGGAUCUGCCUCCUUGACCUGUCACCGGAUGAGGGCUUCCAAAACCGGCACAAAACAACAAAGCAGUGCCAAAGUCUUUGCAUGUUGGUCAGGGAAAGAAAGCUCUUCAGGCUCCUGAAGAGGGCAGCCACCUGGCAGCAAAGACUUCUCUUUUGCAAACAGUCAAGGAAAUCAAGAGGGGACAGGAGAAGCGGUGGGACGCAAGCCAAGGGUGGACAGAGAAAGUUGUCCCAAGAAGCUAUGCGAGGAAAGGAGGGGCUUCUUAAAAAGGGACGUGGCCUAUGUUGCCUUUCACAAGACCUGGAAUUUCCAAGAGCUCUGGUCUUUGUAAUCCAAGCAGUCGGUCGCAUUGAAGUUGAGCUUCCAAGAGGCCGCCUGGUCCUUGUAGUCUAGGCAAUCCACCGAGCCAAAGCCCAGCCCGGCUGUGGCAUAACCCUGGCUGGAGAGAGAUGCUGGGGACUGGCUCAGGUGACUGCCCAUGGUUGGGGUCGCGAUGGGGCUCAGGGCAGCUCCAGGUGCAGACAGCUGCGGGU